UUCCCCAGUUCAAAUCCGGGUGUCGCCU
RNAcentral lists this transfer RNA (28 nucleotides) under Platanus occidentalis (American sycamore). Its description in RNAcentral is "partial tRNA-Cys". Lineage: Eukaryota; Viridiplantae; Streptophyta; Magnoliopsida; Proteales; Platanaceae. The record is from RNAcentral.